This is a non-coding RNA of Taeniopygia guttata (zebra finch), 4529 nucleotides long. NCBI's taxonomy places the organism in Eukaryota, Metazoa, Chordata, Aves, Passeriformes, Estrildidae. The record is from RefSeq and is a predicted model, not a curated record.
UAACCACGGCCCGCCCAGGACACAAAAGGAGGCUCCCGGGUGCCUCCUGAGACUCAAAUCAUUCCAGGUGCAUCAGGAAAUCAAUAGAAAUAAGCUCGUCCCUUUUGGGGUAAUGAAUUAUUUUUCUCUCCAUUACCCCUUCAGUCUCCUAUUCCUGUUUCCUAAGUCAAAACACCUGGACCAGGUGGGGGUCGGGGGAAAAUGUCAAAACCGAGCCAAACUUGUUUUUCCAGCGGUUUCCAUCAGGACUGUUCAGGUUUCCCCCGACCCUCGGCCGUACCACGGGAGCAGCUUCUCCGUGCGACCCCCGGGGGUGGCACAGGGACCCCACCCCGCUGCUCCCCGGGAAACAGAGCCCAGCGCAGCCCACAGAACCGCGGCAGCGCAGCUGGGAGCGCGGCGCGGGCUUUAUUCCCUGGCACACGAUCCCGGGGAGCCCCAAGUGCCGGGACAAACCCGUCCCGCACAGCAGCUGAGCAUUUAUCGUGCAGGAUGUUUUGGAGGGGAUCGCGCCCGUUCUUUUUUGCCGCCUUCCCUGCCCGCGGCUGUGGCGGGCGGCGGUGCUGCCGCCUCGUGGGCAGAGAGCGGCACUGCAGCCCCGCCAUGCUGGGAGCGGCUGCCGCGGGCUCGCCCGAGCUUCCCGUGAGGGCGGCAAAAAGGGCGGGAAAAUCUUGGCUGUAAAAGGACAAGUUGCAUUUUCUGUUUCAGAGCUGUAUUCUGGAGAUAUUACAAAGUGCUGCCCGUGUCACCAGAGCUGCCUAUGAGCUGACAGAGGAUCACAGCCUCCUGACGUGGGUCCCGCCCGGCUUGGAGAAAAGGUAACCAGAGAAGUACAGGAGAAAUGGGAACAAUUUUCCUGCCCACAGUAGAAGAAUUCUGUGGCUGUGGAUGAAAGCAAGGGUGACAGACAUGGAGACAGGGGUGCCAAGGGCUGCCCUGGCAGAACUUGCUGAACUCUGAGGCCUCCCUUGUGUUUUUGAAAACAGAAUCAAGUUGCUUUCAGGUUGUGGUAGGUGGGAUGAUGUGGGGGGGCUUUGUUAUUGGGAAAUCACUGCCUUGAAAAAGCAAAAUGGCACCUUGUGCUGGUGUCUUUACCUUUUAAAUGUCAAGCCUCCUCAGUUUCCAUCCUGUCCCUCCUGCAGGACGGGAGGUGGCACAGUGGUAGAUUUGAGCUGUCUAGAACAUUAUUUCUCCUCCCCUUGCCUCUCCCUCACAAAAAUAGAAUAUGGUCCCCUGUAGGAGAUGGACCAGCUGCUGCUGAGGAUCUGCCUUUCAAAUAUGCUUUUCAAAUGCCUUUUAAAUAAAUUUUUUCCUUUUUUUUUUUUUUUUUUUUUGGGUUUUGUGUUUGCUUGUUUGGUUGGUUUCGUUAGUUUUUUAGGUUUCUGGAGAACAAGGUAAUAAAUAAAAUUAUUUCCUUACUCCAUACUCUAUGAGUAACAAAUUUAGAAGACAAGAAAGAAGACAAGAAUCAAUCCCAGGAGAAUAGGAAACUUCUUCCUGUUGAGCUUGUAAAUGAAUUUCUGUGUGUUUUGGUCACAUUAAUCAAACAUAUUUGGCAAGUCCUUUGUUUUGUUUUUUGUUUUAGUAGGUUUGCAUUUCAUUCUUUGUCCUGUUUAAACUUUAUUAAGGCCAGGAGGCUUUCUUUAUCUCUGCUAGAUGGAUGGCUUUGACAGGAGGAUUUAGGUGUUUGAAUACACGGGGAAUCAAGUAAAAUGUGAUGCCCAGUUGCUGUCAAGCUGAGUGAGUUGUUCAGCACCCUCAGCUCUGUGCUGGAAUACCGUGCUGUUGUGGAGGCGUUUAGGGAGAUGAGGCGUUUCACGGUCAGCGACAGCAUCCUCUCCAGCAGGGAGCUGCUGCUGCUGCACACGUGGAGCCUUGUCAGCCAAGACCUGCAGCUGCAGGAGGACCUGCAGACCCUGGUUCAGAAGGACCAAAACAAAGAAUUGCAUAGUAAGUGCUGAAAUACUUCAAGCAAGGUGUAUUUUGUUGUAGCUGUUUCAGGCCAGCAGUUCAAAUGAGGCAAACUUCUCUGGCAGUAGUACUAACACCUUCUGUCUGACUGAUAUACCUUGGGGGAGGAGGAAAGGAAAUGGAAAGGCAUUUUUCAGAUCUUCCUUGUGGUGAUUUUGAACCUUAACACAAUUUGGAAGCCUUGGAGAAACGCAGUUUAUGAAGGGAAAGAGCUUUAAAAUGAAACUUAGUGGCAAAUCUUGAGUCAGGCUUUGAAAAAGGGUAUUUUUAAUGAAAUCUUAAGAGAAGAAGCGGUGCCUGGAGGCUUUGUGCUCAAAGCUGUGAAUAGGGAUCUGAAAGAGAUGUGUAAGUAAAAACAAUAAGUAAGUAAAGCAAGCGAAAAGUAAUAGUUGGUAUCUCUUGUCACCAGUUUUAAAGAAAGGAAAAAAAUGCAGGACUUGUGUGACUUCUCUUGUUCUCUUUGUGAACAAAAAGUGCAAGGAACUUGGGAGUGGGAGGUCUUAAAGCAGCACUAUUUUCCUGCAGCAGCAGCUGCUUUUGGUGCACAUUAAAGCUUCUGUGGGUUUGUUUAAAUGUUCUGUAUCAUUAAGAAAGUGUCAUGUAUUUAGGGAUUCUGUAAAAGCUUUAGCUUUUCUACUAAAAAAAAGCUCUAGCUUUUCUAGUUUUUUCACUCUUUAAAACUCCUCAGAAAGACGUGAAGUGGUUUGUGGAGUGAUGCCUGUAACUUAGUGCAUGUGUGGGUUGUGUUGCUCCAGGCUUCAGGAGCUUCUCUCGUGCCCAGGCUGGGUGGUCCAGUUUGGAACAGGGUUCCAGCCUGGAGUCCCUGGAGCUCCUGGAGCCCCUUUGAACAGCACAGGCUCCAUCAGGCUGCUAAAUGAGGCUGCUACUUGCCAUUGUAACAACUGAAUCAACACAGGAGAGCACCUUGCUUGCACAGUUUUGUUCUAGGAAAAUCCUUUGGCGUAUCUGAUGUUUGUUUUGAUGGUGGUUAUCUUCUUACAGAAAAUAUUAAAGACAAGAACAAACCUCAAGCCUCAUCUCGUGUGUAUCGUCACACUCAGAAAAAGAACGGGGUGGAAGAAGUUGAUGCUGCUGCAGAUGUGGAAAUGUCUGAGCUGGAGAAAUGCAGAGAACACCUGAAUUCCAUCCUUGCCCACUGGGACCCUGUUUUUCCACACACGGAGGGGAGACCCUCAGAGCCGGUGAAGGUGGGGGUGAGGCAGCGGCUGUCACCUCUGCAUCUGUUCACAUUGUCACUGCGUGGCGUGAGGUCCCUGGCUGGGCAGAGCCCCUUGGGGAGCAGGAUGUGUCCCCAGCACCGAGGUGGCUGCGGAACCGCGUCCUGCCACACCCGGCGGCCGCGCGGGAGAUGUUCAGGGAUGAGACACUGAGGAACAGCCUCUUCAAGCUUUGCACCCGCCCUGCCAGGCCAGCAGCACCUCGGCUGGGCUCUCCAGGCAGCUCGGUGGGCUCAGUUCCAUCGUGCUGCAGCUAAUGGAGGAGCAGGGCCUGUUCAGCACCUUCCACGAGCUUCUGACAUCUCUGUGCCUAUCAGCAGCGGUGGAAGAGGAUGCGGACAAGACAGCUGUGUCUGUAUUCCUGACUUCCAUUUACCUUGGAGACAUGUGCCUUGGAGCACAGGAGCUGGAUGUGUUACUUACCCGUGUCAGAUUGAUCUGCACUAGUGCAGAUUAUGAGUUACAGGGUGACUCAGACACUCGGAAACAAGGGGAAGAAGCUGUUAUGUCUCUAUGCAAAAAAAUUUGGCUCCAUCAGGGCAUUAAUUCAGGGGACUAACACUUCACCUUUAACGUUCUUCUCUGCUCCGUCCGCAUCGCCAUGAGAGCCUCCUGAGAUGUCCUCAUAUAGACCUAUUUGUUUGGUCAAAAAAAUCAGUAUUUUAUUACUGGGUGCAAACUCGGGGAAGAUUUGAUUCAACAUCUCUCAGUGGGAACUUAAAGUUCCAAUUUCCCUUUUCUAGAACAGUUUGAGAGACGAUAUUACUUAUGUCAUUUUUAUUACAGGCAUUUUUAUCUUUCUGAAGAACCAAAAAGACUGUUUGUGCAUGUGUCUUAGCAGCAGGCCCAGCACAGGCAGGCAGGUUUGGAAUUUUAUUUGCUAUGCUGCAGGUGUAUUCAAGACAUCGUUCCUCUUUGUUUGACAGAAGGAAGACAAAAAACUAAUUCUUAGCAACAGAGGAUGUUUUCUUUCCUGUCUAUCAAGCAGCCAAAUACCACCAGCUAGCUAUCCAUAUUUUAAAAUCAGCUGGAGAACUUGCAUCCCAGGGACCUGGGGAGUGUCUGAAGAGAGCUCUGGCCAGAUCUGUUAGCUGUUAAGCACCCCUGGAACAGCAGAGAAGAGGCUGGAAGAGUUCCAGUGCCCCAGUACCCAGAGACCCAUCUGGUCAGGGCAGGUCACUCUUAGGCAGUGCUGCGACUGACCUGGGCCCAGGCAAAAUCACAGAACUGGAGCUGAGCUAAGACACAACUGAAAAAGUCUUUCAAAGGACAGGGAAGCUAAUUCCAGACUCUGUGGGUUUGGACAAAGACAAGUGCAGU